UCAAAGAUUGCGCUUAACCAUUGUCUUAAUUAUGCUCUCAUUAUUGCGCCUUUCUUAGGCCCAAUGUUUGACAAGGCUGCGGUGCAAUCUUUAACCAUGAUUUUAAGGGACCGAUGUCACAUAUGGCUCCUAACAUUGUCAAAUAUUGCGCCUUACCCUUGGUUCAUUCCUUCUUGUCUAUGUAUGCCUGUAUUGCUCCAAAUAGUGUCUCAAUAUCAUUUUGUACCUUAUAUCUCUAAAAAAACACCAAAACGACAUCAAAUGGACCCCGACUGGUUCCGAGAUAUUAAAGCGAGAUAGAAUUUAGAAAACGCAAAACAUCCUAAACUUCUACCCGAAGCUAUACAGUUAUACAAGAAAUGUUUCUUAAAUGAGGGCGAUGAACGCGGCAAACCGAACAUCAUUGAUAGACUCCACUCUCGGCCUCUACAACAGUGUAGAACUGAAGGUAGACUCCCAGCUCAUCAGGGGAGAUGCUGUGGCACUUCACCCCGCCCACAACCGAAACGAACCUUCGAGGUGGUGAAAAUGUAGCAGCCAAACUCAAGUGUAGCAAAGAACUCCAUAACUACGUGAGGAUAGAUGUUCUUAUUCACCAUAAUCACCUUCCAGAAGUGGUUGGACUGGUAGCAGUAGUUGCAGACUGGGUUUAACCAACUUCUCCUUGAGAAAUACUCGCCUGAGUGAUUGCGGGAAGAUGCUGGAUGGUCUGGUAGAACGUCCAAUAUGCGCAACACUCCGGGCAUGUGAAGCACUUCUCAUGGAGGAGCAGAGGAGGAGGCACUGGUUGGCCGGUAGAGUGUAAGAGGCUGGAACUACAAGCAACAGAUCCGUAACUGGCUGAGCUAAACAACAAAAACCAUCAUUCCUUUAUUCCUCUUGUUAGUCUUGGUAAUCUUAGGUUUUGAAGCCAUCCUGAAAUAUUUAAUAAGUGUGAGCAUCCUAAGGAAUAAUAAGCUAAGGGCACACCAAUAAAUCAUACUACUUAAGAAUUACAUGAUCAAGCUAGCUCACAAGUAGUCAUGGAAAUAUGUAAGGCAGAAGAAUGUGGAAAUCCAAUGAUAGGUACAUAGUCAUUCACAUAGGUAAUUAACUAGCAAUACUAUGCAAAUGCAAUGCUAAGUUCACAACUAAGCAUCAACUACCAUAAUGAAUCAUCAAAAGUGUACCAAUGAGUAAGAUAAGUAUAACAAGUAUGAACAAAGCAUCAAGAAAUCAACUAUGCAACAUUCAAGUUAUAUCAUAGGAGAUACCAAAGGACUAGUAGCAGGUAACAACCCUAAACCAAAAUAAUGAGCACAAUAUGCAUAUUCGAGAGCAAUGGUAUGAUCAAAUUUGAGCAAAAGAGGGAAUAAGGCAUAGUCACAUAUCAAUUCAUCAUUUAGAAGCAUCACAAUCACCUAGCACAACCCUAGGUACAAGAUUCAAAAUCAAACCAAAAAGAUGCAAUUCCAAAGUUUCAUCACAAAAUUUCAAUGUUCAACCAUAUUUGCUUCAAUAUUCAUCCUAAAGGCAAAGCUAGAUAUUAAUUUAGGCAAUAUCAUCCUAUCCUAGCAUUUGCAAUGUUCAACAUCAUCAUCAUCAUCAUUCACCAAUUCACCACAUUUGACCUCAAUUUACCCUAAACCAAAACUAAUUCAACCAUGACCAACAAAUGGAAUUCCCCCAACAGUUAAAGAUUUUCAUCCUUGAAAAUUAAAGAACGACAAAGAUCCUAAGCAAGAGGUUAAAAAUUCAUGACCACAUGCCAUCUAAACCAUCCACAAUUCAAUCCACAACCCAACAAUUUAAACCAAACAAGUUUGCACAACCCUAAUCAUGCACCUAUGAACACUUCAAAUUUACAAGCAAGCACAAUUUGGGGCACAAAUCACUCAAUCGAAUCCCAAAAUCCUAAUCAUGCAUACAAGAACCAAUUGGAGUUCACAAUCAAGUCAAAGUCAAAAGUUUCUAAUCUAGUUUAUGAAUUCGAAGCAAAAAAUUGAAAUCGGAAGAACUUGGCACAAGGUUGGACUCGGGGGGGNNNNNNNNNNNNNNNNNNNNNNNNNNNNNNNNNNNNAACAGAGGAAGGAGGGAGAAAGAGGUUGGUGCGGCGGUGGUCUGGAGGGAGGUGGUAGAGGUUGGGUGAGGGAAGGGUGAAGGGACGGGAGAAGAGGAGCGAUGGUCUAGAGGCGGGGUGUCAAAGGGAUCAACGGAGAAGAGGGAAGGAAAAGAUGAUAGGGGAGGAGGUGGCAACGAGAGGGCUAAGAGUGGAUUUUGGGUGAAUCAGGAAGAGGAAGGUUGAGAUUUGGGAACGAUC
This 2299-nucleotide long non-coding RNA is filed under the name Linum usitatissimum (flax). RNAcentral describes it as "long non-coding RNA (LUSI_LNC002430)". Lineage: Eukaryota; Viridiplantae; Streptophyta; Magnoliopsida; Malpighiales; Linaceae. The record is from RNAcentral.